AUGAAUUGCAUCAGUUGGAACUGUCGUGGUGCGGGGAACGCUACGACAGUUCGAGAGUUAAUUUCCCUAGUUAGAGUCCAUAAUCCUUUUAUUGUCUUCCUUUGUGAAACACGUCAGAAAAAAGAAAAAAUGUUUCGAUUGAGAAAUAGAUUAGGCCUUAGUGGUUUUGAAGGUGUUAGUAGUGAAGGUCUCAGUGGAGGUCUUGCGUUGUAUUGGCAUGAG
RNAcentral lists this ribosomal RNA (222 nucleotides) under Triticum aestivum (bread wheat). RNAcentral describes it as "partial small subunit ribosomal RNA". Lineage: Eukaryota; Viridiplantae; Streptophyta; Magnoliopsida; Poales; Poaceae. The record is from RNAcentral.